UUUAUUAAAUAUUUUAAAAUUGAUUUAAAAUAUAAUUUAAAAAUGAUAAAAAUAAUUAAAAAUUAAAAUUAAAUUAAAUGCUAAACUAAAACUCAAAUUUCGAAUAACAAAAUAAUAAUCAGUAUUAAAUAAAAUAAUUAAAAAAAACUAUUUUCUUCUCUUGUUUCUUCGUUCUUCUUCACAGAUCACACAAGUGAUCUUCUUCUUCAAAGAUGGUCGGUGACUCAACAGACGUAGGUGGCUGGGAGAUGGCAACAGUCAGGGCUCAUCAGGAUGAAGGAGCUGGGUUCGUUAGGGGCAACAAUUUGGGCUCGGUGGAAAGGAGUUCUUUGCCAUGGUGCCGACAACCCAGCUUCGACUUCUCAGACUCCACUUUAUAUCUUUGGCUUCAUCAACGACAGUCAAUCUUCCCACCAACCAUGAUUUGUUGGGUAUAUAGAUGCUUCACAUUGUCCGUCGACCCAGCCACGUCGCCUCCCUCCGCCCAGGUCCACCCAGCCAUUAUGCUUCACGUUUCCCGUCGACCAGCCAUGGUGUCGAUGGCCUCCAAGCACGCUCAAAUCCCGCCGACCCAUUGACCCAAAUGUUCAAAUUCUAUUGUUGUCCAGAUCUUUGUCAAUCCAAAUGCCAAAAUCCUCCAAACAUGCUCAGAUUUGUCACAAAGUGAAGAUGUCGAAGAAGAAUCGUCAAAGAAGAAAGAGGCUUUUUUAUUUUCUUUUGUUAAUGAUACAAUUUUUUUAAAAUCUGCUUUUUUUAAGAUACGAUUAGUUACUUUUUUUGUUAAAUUUGAUUAGAUUUUUAUUUUAUUUAAAUUUGGCCUUUAGAUUUUAUUUUAAUUUAAUUAAAAAUUACAUCUUGUUUUGAAUUAAAUUUUAGAUUUUUUAUUUAAUUUUAAAUUAUUUACAAAUUUUACUGCAAAAAAAAAUUAUUUAAAAAUUAAAAAAAUAUUUUUAAAAUAUUUAAUAAUUAAAAAUUAUUUGGACAAAUUAAGUGCAGCUACGUGGUAGCCACAUAAGACCUGUUUAGAUUGAAUAGCCAGGAACCAAUGUCUGCACCAAAUUUGUAACGGCAAAUAUUAUUGUUUUACAUAAUCUAACUACAUAUGUAUUAUUGCUCGUCUUGAUUAAAUAUCAAAUUCAGAAAACCCAGGCUUGAUUUUUGAAUUAAUGUCAGUGUUAGUAAGGUACAAAAAAUAAAUCAUGGUAAAUUGUUGACAUCUCAAUUUCAAUUCAAUUAUUUCUUUUAUAGUAAAAUAAUUAAAAAAGUAAUAUAAACAC
Long non-coding RNA from Humulus lupulus (European hop), 1277 nucleotides. RefSeq lists it as uncharacterized. The transcript is spliced from 2 exons. The record is from RefSeq and is a predicted model, not a curated record. Lineage: Eukaryota; Viridiplantae; Streptophyta; Magnoliopsida; Rosales; Cannabaceae.